UGAGCCCGGUACGUACGUGAGGAGGCCCCGGACGAUGCGUCCGGGGCCUCCUCACGUACGUACCGCUCAGA
RNAcentral lists this microRNA precursor (71 nucleotides) under Streptomyces cinereoruber. RNAcentral's name for it is "microRNA MIR1846". It matches the Rfam family "MIR1846 microRNA precursor family", at positions 1 to 86 of the family's 110-position model. The record is from RNAcentral. Lineage: Bacteria; Bacillati; Actinomycetota; Actinomycetes; Kitasatosporales; Streptomycetaceae.